Molecule: long non-coding RNA, 910 nt
Filed under: Sorghum bicolor (sorghum)
Lineage: Eukaryota; Viridiplantae; Streptophyta; Magnoliopsida; Poales; Poaceae
Description: long non-coding RNA (SBIC_LNC000173)
Source: RNAcentral
AGGGAAAUUGGUCUAAAGUGAGAUACAUACUGAAAAAAAAGAAACUUAAAGAUGGAUAUCAUUUAGAGACCAUCAUCUAUAAAUCAAGGGUUCCAAACAUAAAGUAUUUUGUUAUAUGUUGAUCUAGACAAACUCUUGAAGGGUGUAAGUAACAAUAGGCAAUUCCUAGACAAGCUUAUUAACAAAGGUAAACUGUUGUACUUUCAAUACAUAUAAUUUAAACAUACUGCUAUCAAACUAAGAGUAGAUAACUGAUUAGAUCCUACACAGCUAUACCUCAUCUUUCAUGCUUGAUAUGCAAUAUGUAUAUCCAGCAAUCAUAUUUGGUUAUAGUGCAACAGAUUAGCUUUGUCAAUCGUACAUGGUUUAGUCAAACUCAGAUUUUCAAACCCAUAAGUUACAAACUUGCAAUAUCUAAUACUUUUCUGACCAGGUCUGCAUACGCACCAUCUUAAAUUAAUCAUUUGCCUUAUGCAUUUUGAAGUUAAAACCAUGUUCGUAUUUAAGAAUAUAAUAAAAAUAGGAAUUUUAUUCUCACCUGCACAUCUUUUGCCCAUGCUCGACGUGUUAGUUCACCUUGAGUCAGCAGUUCUGCAAACUGUGCACUAUCAUUCGCAUCAUAAAUGGAACCAGGCCUCAAACCAUCACCAAUUGAUAAUGCCACAUCAUACUGAUUGCAUAUGUCAAGAAUGUCAUCCCAAUGUUCAUAUGCAAAGUUCUCCUUGUGAUAAGUUAAGCACCAUUUUGCAUGAAUUGAGCCACCACGUGAAACUAUGCCCGUCAUUCUCUUUGCCGUAAGAGGAAUGUAACGAAGCAGGACACCAGCAUGGAUUGUGAAGUAAUCAACGCCCUGCUCGGCUUGUUCAAUCAAGGUAUCCCUAAAGAUUUCCCAGCUCAGAUUUUCAGCAAU